UACGGAGGGACCUAGCGUUGUUCGGAAUUACUGGGCGUAAAGCGCGCGUAGGCGGCUUUGUAAGUUAGAGGUGAAAGCCCGGAGCUCAACUCCGGAACUGCCUUUAAGACUGCAUCGCUUGAAUCCGGGAGAGGUGAGUGGAAUUCCCAGUGUAGAGGUGAAAUUCGUAGAUAUUGGGAAGAACACCGGUGGCGAAGGCGGCUCACUGGCCCGUAACUGACGCUCAUGCACGACAGCGUGGGGAUCAAACAGG
This 253-nucleotide ribosomal RNA is filed under the name uncultured bacterium. Its description in RNAcentral is "partial 16S ribosomal RNA". It matches the Rfam family "Bacterial small subunit ribosomal RNA", at positions 524 to 776 of the family's 1533-position model. The record is from RNAcentral.